CGAUGCUUCAUUCAAAUAUCUGCCCUAUCAACUUUCGAUGGUAGGGAUAGAGGUCUACCAUGGUUACAACGGGUAACGGGGAAUAAGGGUUCGAUUCCGGAGAGGGAGCCUGAGAAACGGCUACCACAUCCAAGGAAGGCAGCAGGCGCGCAAAUUACCCAAUCCCGACACGGGGAGGUAGUGACAAUAAAUAACAAUAUAGGGCUCUUUUGGGUCUUAUAAUUGGAAUGAGUACAAUUUAAAUCUCUUAACGAGGAACAAUUGGAGGGCAAGUCUGGUGCCAGCAGCCGCGGUAAUUCCAGCUCCAAUAGCGUAUAUUAAAGUUGUUGCAGUUAAAAAGCUCGUAGUUGAACUUCAGAUCUGGUCUGAGUGGUCCGC
RNAcentral lists this ribosomal RNA (378 nucleotides) under uncultured fungus. RNAcentral describes it as "SSU rRNA". It matches the Rfam family "Eukaryotic small subunit ribosomal RNA", at positions 288 to 664 of the family's 1831-position model. Lineage: Eukaryota; Fungi. The record is from RNAcentral.